CCUACGGGCGGCUGCAGUCGAGAAUCAUUCACAAUGGGGGAAACCCUGAUGGUGCGACGCCGCGUGGGGGAAUGAAGGUCUUCGGAUUGUAAACCCCUGUCAUGUGGGAGCAAAUUAAAAAGAUAGUACCACAAGAGGAAGAGACGGCUAACUCUGUGCCAGCAGCCGCGGUAAUACAGCGGUCUCAAGCGUUGUUCGGAAUCACUGAGCGUAAAGGGUGCGGAGGCUGUUUCGUAAGUCGUGUGUGAAAGGCGCGGGCUCAACCCGCGGACGGCACAUGAUACUGCGAGACUAGAGUAAUGGAGGGGGAACCGGAAUUCUCGGUGUAGCAGUGAAAUGCGUAGAUAUCGAGAGGAACACUCGUUGCGAAGGCGGGUUCCUGGACAUUAACUGACGCUGAGGCACGAAGGCCAGGGGAGCGAAAGGGAUUAGAUACCCGAGUAGUC
This 446-nucleotide ribosomal RNA is filed under the name uncultured bacterium. Its description in RNAcentral is "partial 16S ribosomal RNA". It matches the Rfam family "Bacterial small subunit ribosomal RNA", at positions 338 to 795 of the family's 1533-position model. The record is from RNAcentral.